GACGAACGCUGGCGGCGUGCUUAACACAUGCAAGUCGAACGAUGAAGCGGGUGCUUGCACUCGUGGAUUAGUGGCGAACGGGCGAGUAACACGUGAGUAACCUGUCCUUUUCUUUGGGAUAACAGCUGGAAACGGCUGCUAAUACUGGAUAUUCAGGCUGCAUCGCAUGGUGUGGUUUGGAAAGGUUUUUUCUGGGAUUGGGUGGGCUCGCGGCCUAUCAGCUUGUUGGUGGGGUGAUGGCUUACCAAGGCUUUGACGGGUAGCCGGCCUGAGAGGGUGGUCGGUCGCACUGGGACUGAGAUACGGCCCAGACUCCUACGGGAGGCAGCAGUGGGGAAUAUUGCACAAUGGACGAAAGUUUGAUGCAGCGACGCCGCGUGGAGGGUGUAGGCCUUCGGGUUGUGAACUCCUUUUUCUCGCGAAAAAGGCACAGUUUUGGCUGUGUUGAUGGUAGUGGGGGAAGAAGCGCCGGCUAACUACGUG
RNAcentral lists this ribosomal RNA (483 nucleotides) under uncultured bacterium. RNAcentral's name for it is "partial 16S ribosomal RNA". It matches the Rfam family "Bacterial small subunit ribosomal RNA", at positions 28 to 507 of the family's 1533-position model. The record is from RNAcentral.